This 253-nucleotide ribosomal RNA is filed under the name uncultured bacterium. RNAcentral's name for it is "partial 16S ribosomal RNA". It matches the Rfam family "Bacterial small subunit ribosomal RNA", at positions 524 to 776 of the family's 1533-position model. The record is from RNAcentral.
CACGUAGGGCGCGAGCGUUGUCCGGAAUUAUUGGGCGUAAAGAGCUCGUAGGCGGCCUGUUGCGUCCGCUGUGAAAGCCCGGGGCUUAACCCCGGGUCGGCAGUGGAUACGGGCAGGCUAGAGGUAGGUAGGGGAGAAUGGAAUUCCCGGUGUAGCGGUGAAAUGCGCAGAUAUCGGGAGGAACACCGGUGGCGAAGGCGGUUCUCUGGGCCUUACCUGACGCUGAGGAGCGAAAGCCAGGGGAGCAAACGGG